This is a long non-coding RNA of Eriocheir sinensis (Chinese mitten crab), 265 nucleotides long. RefSeq lists it as uncharacterized. NCBI's taxonomy places the organism in Eukaryota, Metazoa, Arthropoda, Malacostraca, Decapoda, Varunidae. The record is from RefSeq and is a predicted model, not a curated record. The transcript is spliced from 4 exons.
GUUUCCAGGUAAUGUUGUGUGAUAUGUAUCCUUUCCAGGUAAUGUUGUGUGAUAUGUUUCCAGGUAAUGUUGUGUGAUAUGUAUCCUUUCCAGGUAAUGUCGUGUGAUAUGUUUCCAGGUAAUGUUUUGUGAUAUGUUUCCUGGUAAUGCUGUGUGAUAUAUUUUCAGGUAAUGUCGUGAUGUGUUUCCAGGUAAUGUUGUGUGAUAUGUUUCCAGGUAAUGUCGUGUGAUGUGUUUCCAGGUAAUGUUGUGUGAUAUGUUUCCA